This is a long non-coding RNA of Rhea pennata, 2988 nucleotides long. RefSeq lists it as uncharacterized. Lineage: Eukaryota; Metazoa; Chordata; Aves; Rheiformes; Rheidae. The transcript is spliced from 2 exons. The record is from RefSeq and is a predicted model, not a curated record.
CGCAGUGCUCGGUGAGGUUUCACCCUGUGACGGCUGCUUUGCCCCCCUGCCCCAUCCCAAACACACACACGACCCGGAAACCGCCGCAGAGCCCAGAUCACAGCUUCGCGCUCCCCAGCACCGGCCCCGGCUCCCCAACACCGCCACGACCGGCUCCAGAAACGUGACCUGGAAGUGAGUCUGCCACGGAGCUGGGUGCCAGCAUGCUUCCCCUUACCCUGUGACACCUGAAGAGUCAUCACCAGCAUCCGUCCGUCUGUCAGGGAAGGGUCAGCUCCUGCUGCUGCCCUUGACGUGGCAGGUGUCUGCGUAGCUGACGGCCUACCCCUUCUGCUUUUUCCUUUUCUGCUUUUUCCUUCAGGGAUAGGAUUCAACUCUGGGAAUUUAGAGGACUAUGCCUGAUCUCACCUGUCUGUGCUUUUGCCUUGCCCCAGAUUAGAGCCCUGCAGGACACUUCCACAGUUCUCAGCUCGCCUGUCGCAUCACCAGUCCCAAUGGAUGGGCCUGGACCACACGAAACCCAGACCUUGUGUCAGUGCACAGAAUUGAACGCUGGGUACAGGGGAAGAUGAGAAACCUCGAAUGAGGGUUUGCAGCAUUAGGCUGCCUAGGCUUCAGGAUUUACAGUUUAUUAUCUAUGGAUUUUUCAUUAAUCAGUAAGCCCUAAACCCUGAACCUUAAGUGACAAACUGCACAUGUUGGCACCCAAAUGGUGGCUGAGGCUGUAAAAUCUAGGGAUGAGAUUGCAUUUUAAAUCCUGCACCCUGAUCGCUAGAUGAGCAACCUGUGAGCUGUGACUGCUAAAGGCUGAACCCCACAAAAUAAAGUAAGAAACCAUAACCCCUGCAUAAGAGACCCUCAACAACAAAAUAAAUAAACCUCAAGUGAAAAAGUCCAAACCCUUAGCUUUAAGCAAGGAAAGAUGUUUCCCCUUCAUUUAGAAGGGCAGCAGAACAGGAAGGUGUGCACCAGAAUCCUGUUACUGUUGCUGUUUAUAGGCUAGCUUUUAGCUACCGUUCAAAUGUGGGCAUGUGCAAGAAUCAUGUCACUGGACUGCACUAAGCUGUGCUAACACCAAACAUACCUAAACACCACAAGCAAUAAUUCCUCUCUGUUACAGACCAUUAAUAUUUUUGCUUAUCUCAGCUCCAUGGGCAACCAUCCACAGCCAGUGACAACUGUAACCACCAAGGGCCAAACCACCUGCAACCUCCCAGCCCUGCUCACAUACAGCGCAGCCCCAGGACUUAGCUGUGUCCACACUGCAAGUCAGAUCUCCCCUUCUAUGGCCAGCUGCAGAUCUCUGCAGAGCUCCUAGGUGUGACAAUGCUUCUUUGCCAGACUAUGCUUCAGCACCUGCUGAGAGCCCAGAACAGUUACUGAAUGGUGAGGCAACAGCAAAACCCUCCUAGAUUUACUCCCUAGUCCAAGGCCUGUAAUUGUUUUCACAAUGAUGAGUGAUGCUCUGUGCUGCUUCAGUCAGCCUCUCUGGCUUCAUUUCAUUGCAAGAAUGUCACAGCUGCCCUCAUGUACAGUCCUCCCAGACCCCUUCUGUACUUACAGACUUCCUUAAAACAGUAUGACUGAAAUCAACAAAAUGGGCUGAGCUGCUCCUCUUGAAGUUGCUGGCCUUCACAAUGUUUAUCCUGCAAACGAAUCGAACUACCAAGGUCCCUGGGAGAUUCUCACUUCAGACCUUUGUGCAGAGUAUUCUUUCUAUUUGCGUGCCCUGCAUGAGCCUCUCCUUCAACUGUUUUCCCAAGGUAUGCUUUGGUAAAUACUGUAGUUCCCUAAAUUUUUCACUGGGUCCUUGCUGGUAUUGGAUACCCUUAUAGCAGGGAGGGGCAACCUACAUUCGUGCAAGGAACACUGCAGCACAAAGAAGCUACCCCUUUGGCCCACCUAAUCUACUUUAGAGUUCUGUUUUUUGGGUCUUUGAGUACAGCAUGCAUUUGUUACCCUGUUCUUUUAACAAGAUUAUCUGCGUUCUUCAGUUGUUUCCUCUGAGGGGGGAGUUGCUACAGAAAUUGCUGGGGAGGCCCUGACUGUGGGACGUGAAAAAAACACUACUGACUACCUCUAGCCCAAAAAAGUGUAAGCUGAAGGAUCAGAGUAAAUAACUGCUUGUGUAAUUUGUUCCCUAGCAAUGCAUUGUCAGAGUUUCUUAAAAACAAUCAUACUUGAUCAAAUGCAUAUCCAGUCUGUCAAUAUUAGUGCAAAAAUGUGUAUGUUACUCAUCGUUCAAAACAAAUCUAUGGCACUGGGGUAGCAUGCGUAGGGAGGACUAAUCCAAUGAUAACUCGUUCAGAUGUUCUCUUAUAUGAAAGCAUUUAGAAGAGAUUAAAACAUUAAGCAUAUCAUUCUGUUUAUUGAAUGGACCAUGAUACUAAGAAAAAACUGCAAUGAAGGAGACGUAAUAGUCAGUUUCCUUAAGGGGGUUUUGUCAUGUACUUUAAGGCUUAUUCUACAUUUUGAUAGUAGUAGUGAAUGACACAGGUUGCUUUUCAACCUCUUGGGGAGCAGAAAGUUCUGACUUGAAGGCAAAAUGUUUCUUGCAGCCAGGUUUGAACAAACUGGCUACCAGUCAAAAGCAAUGACAAUUCUGUGGAGUCACUGGAAGUUUUUAAAGCAGUAGUUACCUAUAAUAGAAGGCUAUGCACUUUGACUACUAAAUACCUAUAGUAAUCAAGCUAGGUAAGUGAUACAGAGGUGAGCCAGCCAUUAGUCUCUUUCACACAGUAAUAGCCUUUAGGCCAUUACUACUGUUAUAAAAGUUGAGAUAUUUAGAAACUGAACAAGCUUUUUUUAGCUUGUUUCCUUUAGUAGCAAAACCUGAGCAGUUUGUCAAGAAAAUACUGCUGCCUUCUUCCAGCUGUUUAGUUUGUUUAACAAUCAAUAAAGGUAAGAGGUUGAAAAUCCUAAAAAUGACCAUUCCUUGUUUAACAGUUGCAAGCAGUUCCAUUAAAGAGUGUUCUGUUCUUUUUUUAA